This 255-nucleotide ribosomal RNA is filed under the name Providencia rettgeri. Its description in RNAcentral is "partial 23S ribosomal RNA". It matches the Rfam family "Bacterial large subunit ribosomal RNA", at positions 554 to 699 of the family's 2925-position model. Lineage: Bacteria; Pseudomonadati; Pseudomonadota; Gammaproteobacteria; Enterobacterales; Morganellaceae. The record is from RNAcentral.
AACCGUGUACGUACAAGCAGUGGGAGCCCCACCACCAAAGCAUUUUCUGGUGUUGAGGACAACUUUGAAGUGACAUUCAACACGCGUUGGCGGAGCGUUUUUUGCGACGCCCAACACACAAAACAAGUAGUGAAUGUGCUUUGGGGUGGGGUGACUGCGUACCUUUUGUAUAAUGGGUCAGCGACUUAUAUUCUGUAGCAAGGUUAACCGUAUAGGGGAGCCGUAGGGAAACCGAGUCUUAACUGGGCGAAUGAG